GCUCAGGACGAACGCUGGCGGCGUGCCUAAUACAUGCAAGUCGAACGAACGGAGGAAGAGCUUGCUCUUCCAAAGUUAGUGGCGGACGGGUGAGUAACACGUGGGCAACCUGCCUGUAAGUUGGGGAUAACUCCGGGAAACCGGGGCUAAUACCGAAUGAUAGAGUGUGGCGCAUGCCASGCUCUUGAAAGAUGGUUUCGGCUAUCGCUUACAGAUGGGCCCGCGGUGCAUUAGCUAGUUGGUAGGGUAAUGGCCUACCAAGGCAACGAUGCAUAGCCGACCUGAGAGGGUGAUCGGCCACACUGGGACUGAGACACGGCCCAGACUCCUACGGGAGGCAGCAGUAGGGAAUCUUCCGCAAUGGACGAAAGUCUGACGGAGCAACGCCGCGUGUAUGAAGAAGGUUUUCGGAUCGUAAAGUACUGUUGUUAGAGAAGAACAAGGAUAAGAGUAACUGCUUGUCCCUUGACGGUAUCUAACCAGAAAGCCACGGC
This 494-nucleotide ribosomal RNA is filed under the name Listeria innocua. RNAcentral describes it as "bacterial SSU rRNA". It matches the Rfam family "Bacterial small subunit ribosomal RNA", at positions 22 to 497 of the family's 1533-position model. The record is from RNAcentral. Lineage: Bacteria; Bacillati; Bacillota; Bacilli; Caryophanales; Listeriaceae.